This is a long non-coding RNA of Aegilops tauschii subsp. strangulata, 833 nucleotides long. RefSeq lists it as uncharacterized. NCBI's taxonomy places the organism in Eukaryota, Viridiplantae, Streptophyta, Magnoliopsida, Poales, Poaceae. The record is from RefSeq and is a predicted model, not a curated record.
ACCCGCUCAUCUUUCCAACGAAACAGAUUCAACUUCCUCUUCGUCUUCUCCAACCUUCAUCAAAUCCCACUGUAUUAUUUUUGAAACCGAGACGGAUAGGGUGUGGCAGUGAGCGAUGGUAAGAGGCGUUCAUCCUCUGCGAUGAGGUACCCCGGUGGCAGUCCCUGCCCUGCCUUCGGCUUCCCAAAUCGUAGAUUCGUAGGUGCCCCGCCAUGGAAGAACAGCGCCUUGCGGAGGAUGCAGCCGCGCCGGGAUCGGCCCGGGCCACCCUCGGCAAGUACCUCACGGUCUCCCCACGCUUAUGGUCAGACUCUCCUCGAAGCUCCCUCAUGUCCUUGCUCUGGUGCGGACCGUCCUAGCGCCGGCCGCCUCAGAUGCAUCAGACACAGCCAUCCCCGGCGCAGCCCAGUUCUAGCGUGAUCGAGGAGGAGCUCCCUCAUGUCGUUGCUGUGCUCUGAGCCCUCGUUGUGGCGGCGGCCUCGGACGCGCCUGAUGCGGCAAUCACCACCGCGCCUGAUGCUCUAAGCUCAUAGUAGCACUAAUCCAGAUUAUCUCCUCAUGGCGUGGCCAUGAAUCCCAUUAAUUAAAUAAUUGACGGCAUGGCUUAUUCUUUUUCUUUCAUGUAACUGUGCAGGUUUAUACUGAACUCGCCAGAACUCCCAUUGUCUAAGUCUGCGUAGUCCCAUCAACAAGUUGAUAGCUUUGGUAAAACUCCAAGUAUGCGUAUUGAUUAUUCAGAGGUUCGUUGCAGUACAAUUUCCUUUUUGGACAAAAUCGUUUGGUUAGUUUCAGAAUACUAGCAGUUUGUGAGUAAAUUUGUUGUGUUUUGUCAA